AUGUGUAGCAAUUUUUGGUGCUUUCUUUUUAAAUCUGUCAUAAUCUGGUGUUCUGAAUGUUCAACAAUAAAUUUGGUGAACAAGGGCAUGUGGUGCAGAGAUUGUUUGCCAGUUCACAUACUCCACAAUACCAUCUCAGGAGAAAAUCCUUCAAGAUUACUUCUUUACAGCACAUCUGGAUUUCAGAAAUUUGAAGACCUAUGCAUGGCACAUAAUGACACAUUACAGCUUUGUUCCACCAUGCCCAAAGCACUCCUGCUGCUGUGUGUUGUCCUGGUGCUACUUGGGCUUGUGCCUGGAGCCACAGUGAGAAACGGAGAGAAAUGGAAGCCGCUCAACAAUCCCCGGAACAGAGAGCUGGUGUCUGGCUAUUUUAAAACUACAGAUCAAGCUUCUCAUCAGAAAAAUUCAAUCAUGGUCAUGGCUAAACCUUUUCCCCCUCCACUUUUGUCAAUUUAUAAUGGUUUUAUUCUACAUUUCCAGAUUUACAUAUAAAUGGGUCGAGCUUUGGGACAUAUGUGACUUAUGUGCAUAUUUUUGGAGUCUUUUUUCCAUUCUAUAAACCAUAAACAUCAAUGUAGAGCACUGGACAUAUUUCUAAGAGUUACAAAAAUACUGUAGAGUCCAAAGAGAUGAUGAUCUUUCAAAUUACCUUUCCUUUAAGCUUGUCUUUCAAGCUUGUGUGCUUAUUACCUUUUAUCAAUAAAUAUUAAAAAAUUUUUUUANGUUUAUUUAUU
Molecule: long non-coding RNA, 737 nt
Filed under: Felis catus (domestic cat)
Lineage: Eukaryota; Metazoa; Chordata; Mammalia; Carnivora; Felidae
Description: lncRNA (ENSFCAG00000048176.1)
Source: RNAcentral